CAGUUCAGAUUUAAACCACCAAUGGCAAUGUAUCUACUGGAGACUAAUUCCUUACCCGUAUAGCUUCCUGCGUGAAGUUUCGACCACUUUUAUUAAUCAUGUGAUCUUCCACUGCAGGGAAAGCAAUCAGUCAUAGACGCUCAGACAGCGUCCCGCUGAACAGUUGGCAACUCGCACUGCAGUUUGAGGUCGACAAGUCAGUGUAACUUUGGAAAACACCACUAUCAAUCUUCCCCACAUGACUGCUUGGCAUGAAACAGGGCUUCCAGCGAGAACUGAUGAAAAGGGAAAUUCAAGGAUGGAGUAACAUGGCAAGGAGCUGGAGAACGGAUGUCCGCAGACUACUGACUUCGGGAGGAAAAAGACCAGCCCAGAAAAUCUCCGCCCCCAAGCUCACCUGGCCUGUAGGGGUCGCCGUAGAACGGUGAAAACAGUCUAAGCCAGAUCCCACCUCCCAACCCCGGGAGGGCCAAAGCCAAUGCAGCGCCCCCACGAAAUCCCCAACGAAGACCGGCUGCCUCGCACAAGCAGGAUUGAAACUUGCGAUCUGGUUAUACGACUCACCCUGCAUGCUGCACAGCAGAGCUUUCACCAGGUGAGCCAUUCAGGGACCUCCCACUGAAAUCAUUUGAACUUGCCAAAGAAAUCAUUACUGCCAGCUUUUCUACAACAGAGCGUGUCUACCUGUUUUUGUGCAAUCAUGUUCGUUAUAGUAUAAAUAAUCUGCUUUUUCCAGUGGAUGACAAGGUGUUUUUUUUUUGUUUUUUUUAAACUGGGGUUAUUUAUGACGAAUCUUAUUAUGCCAAGAGAGCUACACAGCUCAAUGUGCAGUCACUGCACAUAUGAUAGAAAGCACCUGUGCUGGCCCAUGCUCCCCUCCACUAAAUCACAAGAAACUGGGUCCACAGACUGACAGAUCCGGAGAUGAGGUCCUCAGUCGACAUACCAGCGACUCACUCAGACGUACAGCUGUCAGACCAGGUCCAGGAUGUAUGAUGGGAACCUGGGACCCAGGGCAGGCUUUUGAAAGAUGACACUUGAUUUGUUAAUUGAGAGAUAACAGUUCAAGGGAAUGUGGGAAGAAAGGCUCUGUAAGUGAUAGAGCUGUCUUACUUAUUCACCCGUUCUGAAGUGAUUGAAACAUGGCCCAAUGCAAACAAGGAUGUACAGUACCUACAAAAUACAAAUCUCCACUAGAAGUAACGUUGAACAAAAGCAAGGAUUAUAUUGGUCUGCAAAGAAAAUAUGGACAGUAAUGAAAUAUGAGGGGAUUUGUUUUAUUUCUUGUAUAUUGACGCCAGCACUGUGGAUCAUAAACAGGGCUAUGUAGGAACAUGUUUGCGGUCAGAUCCUCUCAGAUGUCUGACCCUUUGGUUCACUGGUGCACCAGCCAGCUUACAAUGGGAAUAUGUUUGCUCCCUGUGGAGAACAACUACAGAAUUGUGUCUGCUUUGUCAACCAAUUGGGUUUGACUUGAAAUACACAGAUACAUAUACAUCUGUUUUUAAAACUUAGAAUAGAGCCUUGAAGAGUACUGCGUUCUCAACAGUGAUCUCUUUAUUUAUUUCGGCAUGUGUUUUCCCCAGGGUUGCCCCCUAUUUAGAUUAUUAAAUGAUAAGAUCCCCAUAGUUAAAGCGUUUCCCAUGUACGUGAACUGAUUAAUCCCUUUAUAAACACGUCAGGCAGUUUUGUAACGUCCUUGUUGAUACUGUAGGCUGUGUUUCGCAGUUCAUCAUCUAGAAGCGGCAGGAACCUGACGUCAACCCGAGAAAACAAGGGGCUCGUUCGUCAAAGGGGCUCUGUCAAGGGUCACCAGGCCCACCUAAUGAUGCACAACAUGCAGGCCCGGUAUCACAGGCUCUAAUCUCUUCAGUUAUCUGUGGUAGAAAGCAGGAUUGCUGUUAUCACCUCGAAGUUACAGGCAAUUCAGCCACAAAGGAAGAUGCUUGUUACAACCAUUGUUCUGACUGGCAAAAACAUGAUACUUUGGAUUUUCUGUUGCACCCUUUACUUGUAGUAAUCUGUAGACUUGUAGACUUUCACUCUUUACAGGGAUUAAAACUAUGUUGUCCAAAAGCUAAAGACAAAAUACUUUUUCUUUUUUUUUACACAAAGAAACAUUUUGAUUACAUUAGAAUAAAUAGUGCACUAUUUCAUGUGACUAUAUUCCUUUGUCAGGGCAGUGAGUAGAUUUUGUAGGGUCAUUUUUCUGCUGUGUCAAACUCCUUGACACUGCAUUUAGUUUGGGUCACUUUAAUGGGACUUUGAUCAGUUCAUACGUUGAUGUAAUAGCCACAGCUGGAUGGGUGUGUGCUGUACACGCAUGGUGAAAAAGCAAUUAAAUAAAUGAAUCAUUUUCUUUUCUCGCU
Molecule: long non-coding RNA, 2369 nt
Organism: Acipenser ruthenus (sterlet)
Lineage: Eukaryota; Metazoa; Chordata; Actinopteri; Acipenseriformes; Acipenseridae
Exons: 3
Source: RefSeq, a predicted model, not a curated record